Molecule: ribosomal RNA, 498 nt
Filed under: uncultured bacterium
Lineage: Bacteria
Description: partial 16S ribosomal RNA
Rfam family: Bacterial small subunit ribosomal RNA
Source: RNAcentral
GACGAACGCUGGCGGCGUGCCUAAUACAUGCAAGUCGAACGAGAGCGACCGGUGCUUGCACUGGUCAAUCUAGUGGCGAACGGGUGAGUAACACGUGGGUAACCUGCCCAUCAGAGGGGGAUAACAUCCGGAAACGGAUGCUAAAACCGCAUAGGUCUUCGAACCGCAUGGUUUGAAGAGGAAAAGAGGCGCAAGCUUCUGCUGAUGGAUGGACCCGCGGUGCAUUAGCUAGUUGGUGAGGUAACGGCUCACCAAGGCCGUGAUGCAUAGCCGACCUGAGAGGGUGAUCGGCCACAUUGGGACUGAGACACGGCCCAAACUCCUAAGGGAGGCAGCAGUAGGGAAUCUUCCGCAAUGGACGCAAGUCUGACGGAGCAACGCCGCGUGAGUGAAGAAGGUUUUCGGAUCGUAAAACUCUGUUGUUAGAGAAUAACAAGUGCUAGAGUAACUGUUAGCGCCUUGACGGUAUCUAACCAGAAAGCCACGGCUAACUACGUG